GUGGGGAAUCUUCCGCAAUGGACGAAAGUCUGACGGAGCAACGCCGCGUGAACGAUGACGGCCUUCGGGUUGUAAAGUUCUGUUAUACGGGACGAAUGGCGUAGCGGUCAAUACCCGUUACGAGUGACGGUACCGUAAGAGAAAGCCACGGCUAACUACGUGCCAGCAGCCGCGGUAAUACGUAGGUGGCAAGCGUUGUCCGGAAUUAUUGGGCGUAAAGGGCGCGCAGGCGGCGUCGUAAGUCGGUCUUAAAAGUGCGGGGCUUAACCCCGUGAGGGGACCGAAACUGCGAUGCUAGAGUAUCGGAGAGGAAAGCGGAAUUCCUAGUGUAGCGGUGAAAUGCGUAGAUAUUAGGAGGAACACCAGUGGCGAAAGCGGCUUUCUGGACGACAACUGACGCUGAGGCGCGAAAGCCAGGGGAGCGAACGGGAUUAGAUACCCGAGUAGUCC
This 450-nucleotide ribosomal RNA is filed under the name uncultured bacterium. RNAcentral describes it as "partial 16S ribosomal RNA". It matches the Rfam family "Bacterial small subunit ribosomal RNA", at positions 354 to 796 of the family's 1533-position model. The record is from RNAcentral.